RNAcentral lists this non-coding RNA (248 nucleotides) under Balearica regulorum gibbericeps (East African grey crowned-crane). RNAcentral describes it as "Balearica pavonina gibbericeps Eukaryotic small subunit ribosomal RNA". It matches the Rfam family "Eukaryotic small subunit ribosomal RNA", at positions 1189 to 1402 of the family's 1831-position model. The record is from Rfam by way of RNAcentral. Lineage: Eukaryota; Metazoa; Chordata; Aves; Gruiformes; Gruidae.
CUAAAUUUGAUUCAACAUUGGAAAUCUUGUCUGUUCAGACAUGGAUAGGAUUGAAGGAAUAUUAGCUUUUUCUUGAUUUCUUGGGUGGUGGUGCAUGGUUAUUCUUAGCUGACGGAGCAAUUAGUCUGGUUAAUUUUCCUGUUGUGUUUGAUACCAGAAGAGAUUUAGCCCCCAACAGAGAGCAUGAAGAUGGCCACCAGGAGGAAAAGACAGUUUAAUAAUACAUAUGUGGCCAGACUCAUGGGCUG